This is a non-coding RNA of Pelobates cultripes (western spadefoot toad), 93 nucleotides long. NCBI's taxonomy places the organism in Eukaryota, Metazoa, Chordata, Amphibia, Anura, Pelobatidae. The record is from the annotation of a GenBank genome assembly.
CACUGCUCCCUCCGCUGAUGCCGCCGGGAAACAGGAGAUUAUGUCAAUCAUUUCCUGUCUCCCGGCGGCAUCAGCGGAGGGAGCAGUGCUAGA